AAGGAGUUUUUUAGUCCUCUAAGAAUUGUGAAUUGCAGAAUCCCGUGAACCAUCAAGUUUUUGAACGCAAGUUGCACCCGAAGCCAUUAGGCCGAGGGCAUGUCUGCCUGGGCUUCA
This 117-nucleotide ribosomal RNA is filed under the name Nicotiana attenuata. RNAcentral describes it as "rRNA 5_8S_rRNA". It matches the Rfam family "5.8S ribosomal RNA", at positions 43 to 154 of the family's 154-position model. Rfam says of the family: 5.8S ribosomal RNA (5.8S rRNA) is a component of the large subunit of the eukaryotic ribosome. It is transcribed by RNA polymerase I as part of the 45S precursor that also contains 18S and 28S rRNA. Lineage: Eukaryota; Viridiplantae; Streptophyta; Magnoliopsida; Solanales; Solanaceae. The record is from Rfam by way of RNAcentral.